UGGGGAAUAUUGCACAAUGGGCGCAAGCCUGAUGCAGCCAUGCCGCGUGUGUGAAGAAGGCCUUCGGGUUGUAAAGCACUUUCAGCGGGGAGGAAGGCGGUGAGGUUAAUAACCUCAUCGAUUGACGUUACCCGCAGAAGAAGCACCGGCUAACUCCGUGCCAGCAGCCGCGGUAAUACGGAGGGUACAAGCGUUAAUCGGAAUUACUGGGCGUAAAGCGCACGCAGGCGGUCUGUCAAGUCGGAUGUGAAAUCCCCGGGCUCAACCUGGGAACUGCAUUCGAAACUGGCAGGCUAGAGUCUUGUAGAGGGGGGUAGAAUUCCAGGUGUAGCGGUGAAAUGCGUAGAGAUCUGGAGGAAUACCGGUGGCGAAGGCGGCCCCCUGGACGAAGACUGACGCUCAGGUGCGAAAGCGUGGGGAGCAAACAGG
Molecule: ribosomal RNA, 429 nt
Filed under: Chloroflexota bacterium
Lineage: Bacteria; Bacillati; Chloroflexota
Description: Chloroflexi bacterium partial 16S ribosomal RNA
Rfam family: Bacterial small subunit ribosomal RNA
Source: RNAcentral